ACAGAAGAGGAAAGGGAAGGGGAAGAAGAAGAGGCAUUUAAGGUCUCCCAUACUGAUGCAUCACUGUGCUGGAGGAAGGGACAUGAGGACGGGCAGGACCCACUGUACUGGAAAGGCAGUGUGGGCUCAGAACAUCUGUUGUGGGAGGCCCAGCCUAGCUAAGGACAGAGAGGCCCAGCGCUCUAUCGACUGAGCCACCUAGCUGCCUCCAUCCUUGCUACUUGACUGAAAUUAUCUUCUUCAAGGUCACCCGUGAUCUCUUCAUUGCUAAACCCUGUGACUGUUCUCAGGCCUGGUCUUCCUUGACCUCUGUGUAGCAUUCGACACUGUUGACUAGGCUCCAUUUCUGGAUGCAGGCACUCUCCUCUGUGCAGCUUCACAACAUUGCUCUGUUAUGGUUAUCUUCCUACGCGUUAGCCUGAUGCUUCUCACAGAUCCUUCUGGACGUAAGAGGAAUCCACUAGAGAUUUUUGAACAAGAGAGUGAUAUGAUCUCAUCUUUGUCCUGGCUAUGACUUGAAGGAUGGACCAGAGAGGGAAGAGAGUGGAGUUGGGCUACUCCAGUGGUCCAGGUUGAGGAGUAUCUGGAGAUGGAAUUGAAUGGGUAAUAACCUUGUGAACUUCAGAAGGUCAGAUGAACUGUGAGAAUCCCCUCAGCAACCAGUUGGUAGCAGAGACCACUGAAGUUGGCAGCAGCAGCAGCCAGGUCCAGCAGCUGAUGUACCUUCUUGACCCAGCCCAGCAGGGGAUUGAACCAUCAACUGAGAAAUUGUGUCCUGAAAGGAGCCAGCCCACUUAACAAGUUAACUUGUUUAUCAAGACACCACACUUUGAAGCAAACUUGAUGGAGACACUCUGAAGGUGGAAAAAAAAAGUCUUGGAGCCAGGUGUAAUGAGGUAAUCCUAUAGGCUCCAUGUACUCCCUAGUAUAUGCCUCAUAACCUUUAAUUUUGAUUGAUACCAAAUUUUGAGCCUACUCUCCUCGUGGACUUUGUGCAGAGAGGAGGAUGUGCCCACUCCACUUGGGGGGAAUGUUCUUGUAAACUUCUUUCUAUGACUUCACAAUAAAUGGCCUUUUGUAAAAGCUAA
Molecule: non-coding RNA, 1088 nt
Organism: Phascolarctos cinereus (koala)
Lineage: Eukaryota; Metazoa; Chordata; Mammalia; Diprotodontia; Phascolarctidae
Source: RefSeq, a predicted model, not a curated record